AAUUAUGGCUCAGGACGAACGCUGGCGGCGUGCUUAACACAUGCAAGUCGAACGAGAAUCUGCGGAAAGAGGAUUCGUCCAAUUGAAGCAGAGGACAGUGGCGGACGGGUGAGUAACGCGUGAGGAACCUGCCUUUCAGAGGGGGACAACAGUUGGAAACGACUGCUAAUACCGCAUGACACAUCGGAGUCGCAUGGCUCUGAUGUCAAAGAUUUAUCGCUGAAAGAUGG
Molecule: ribosomal RNA, 230 nt
Filed under: uncultured bacterium
Lineage: Bacteria
Description: partial 16S ribosomal RNA
Rfam family: Bacterial small subunit ribosomal RNA
Source: RNAcentral